CUCUGGACCUUCCUCCUUGCCCUGGGGCAUUUCCUCUCUGAGUUGUUUGUCUAUGGAACUGCAGCUCCCACGAUUGGCGUCCUGGCACCCCUGAUGGUGGCAAGUUUCUCCAUCCUGGGUAUGCUGGUCGGGCUCCGGUAUCUAGAAGUAGAACCAGUAUCCAGACAGAAGAAGAGAAACUGAGGCCAGCAUUAUCACCUCCAGGACUUUCUCGUUUUCCACCUUGGCCAUCUUCUUCCUUCGUCGUCUCUCCUCUUUAAUUUCUUUUCUAUUCCAUCAUCUGCCCUUUUAUUCACUUUUAGCCUCUUUUUUUAAUUUUUAAAAUUUAAAGAUAUGCAUACUGAAAAGUAUAUAACAUGUACGUACAAUUUAAAGAAUAAUUUUAAAGUGAAUACUACGUAACUCCAUCCAAGUCAAGAAAUUGCCAGCUUCUCGGAAGCCCACUGUGUCUCCUUCCCCUACCUGCAACCUCUUCCAGGCUCCCUUUUCCAGCCUUCCCCUUUUUCCCUUUUAUUUUCAUGCCUUGAUUUGACUUGUGUGGUGGGAACAUGUGAACUAUGAAACUUAAACCUGCUGCCCACCCAGAGCAGCUGUGACCAAGGGCUGCCUCAAGGGGUUGUCCACGCAGGUUGGGCUCCUCUCUGCUGCUGGACCCAAGACUCUGAACCUUCCAAGGGACAGGCAGUUCUUCUAAGAAGGGCUCCCCUGUGUGUGAGCAAGACCACAGCUCUCCUUCUAUCUACAGAUGCAUGAGGGUUGGAAGAGUCUGGGCUGUUUUUAGACCUUCUGGUCAGCUGUAUUUGUGUAACAACUUUUGUAAUAAAUAGAAAAACCCUCUGC
Molecule: long non-coding RNA, 840 nt
Filed under: Homo sapiens (human)
Lineage: Eukaryota; Metazoa; Chordata; Mammalia; Primates; Hominidae
Description: HSALNT0213307
Source: RNAcentral